GCGCCGGGUAGGGUUGGAGAAAGCAAGUCAUUUGGGGGGAGCAAGGGCGCCCCUCGAAAAGCCCGCGCAAGGCCUGCCGGGCGCCUCUCCGGCCCGCGCGGCCAGCGGAGUGGCUGGAUUAUGUAAGUAACCGCCACCAUGUGCUAGCCACCAUCUGUUAAUAUCUUGGUAUUGGAAAGUUCGGUGCCUGAGGCAAAGCCAGGGUUGGCGGCGAAGAGAGAUCCCAGCCUCCGAGUACUACUCGGGCAGGAAGGCAGCUCCCUGGGUGAUAUCCGUCCACGUCCGUAGAGUCGGGGCACCGUGACUUGAGACCACGGACACCCUCUCUCCCACCGCGGGCGGGCGUCUGUGGGAGGCGAGUGAUUCUCUUCGAGGUCACCUUAUCACGAACCCCUGCUUCCGAUGAAUUUUUACUUUUCUGACCAUUCUGCGCUCCUUUAGUGUCUUUUAAGAAAGAGCCGGAGGGGAGACGUCCUGGCGAAGGCCGCUUAGCCCCACACCUGAUGCAGGAGAGAGAAGGUGCGAGCGGACUGAGAAGGAACAGAUCGGCUUCCAGAUAAAUAAGCAAAGGCAGCCUGCACGGAGAGGGCUGCUUAGAGACCGCUCGCGACUUGCGCUAACUUUCAAGUUACUGAGAUUGUGUGAGCCAAGCGCAGACGGCGGAAGGGCUGCGAGGACCUGAGCCCGGCAUGUGGCCUCGCAGAUGGAGCCAAUAUCGAGGCCACUUCUCUUCUCUGGCUGACGGAUCGCUUCUUCCCAACCGAAAACCGUCGCCGAGAUAGAGGCUUGGGCCUCGCGCCUUGCUCCGGGGCCGCCGAAGCCCUGACAGCGCCCCUGGCCGGAGAGGAGAGGUCGCCAGGAGCCUGGCCCGCACGUCGCCUCGCCGGGCCGGGCAGGAAAAGGACGUCUCGGAGGUGGCAGCACGCGGAGCUGGACUCCAGACGAGCUCGCUCCAGCCCAUUUCAACCCUCGGCUCCGGCUCCUGCGCCCUGAGGUGGGCUGCUA
Molecule: long non-coding RNA, 1005 nt
Organism: Heterocephalus glaber (naked mole-rat)
Lineage: Eukaryota; Metazoa; Chordata; Mammalia; Rodentia; Bathyergidae
Source: Ensembl